This 484-nucleotide ribosomal RNA is filed under the name uncultured bacterium. Its description in RNAcentral is "partial 16S ribosomal RNA". It matches the Rfam family "Bacterial small subunit ribosomal RNA", at positions 30 to 507 of the family's 1533-position model. The record is from RNAcentral.
AUUGAACGCUGGCGGCAGGCCUAACACAUGCAAGUCGAGCGGAUGAAGGGAGCUUGCUCCUGGAUUAAGCGGCGGACGGGUGAGUAAUGCCUAGGAAUCUGCCUGGUAGUGGGGGAUAACGUCCGGAAACGGGCGCUAAUACCGCAUACGUCCUGAGGGAGAAAGUGGGGGAUCUUCGGACCUCACGCUAUCAGAUGAGCCUAGGUCGGAUUAGCUAGUUGGUGGGGUAAAGGCCUACCAAGGCGACGAUCCGUAACUGGUCUGAGAGGAUGAUCAGGCACACUGGAACUGAGACACGGUCCAGACUCCUACGGGAGGCAGCAGUGGGGAAUAUUGGACAAUGGGCGAAAGCCUGAUCCAGCCAUGCCGCGUGUGUGAAGAAGGUCUUCGGAUUGUAAAACACUUUAAGUUGGGAGGAAGGGCAGUAAGUUAAUACCUUGCUGUUUUGACGUUACCAACAGAAUAAGCACCGGCUAACUUCGUG